This 440-nucleotide ribosomal RNA is filed under the name uncultured bacterium. RNAcentral's name for it is "partial 16S ribosomal RNA". It matches the Rfam family "Bacterial small subunit ribosomal RNA", at positions 338 to 795 of the family's 1533-position model. The record is from RNAcentral.
CCUACGGGAGGCUGCAGUGGGGAAUAUUGCACAAUGGGGGAAACCCUGAUGCAGCGACGCCGCGUGAGUGAAGAAGUAUUUCGGUAUGUAAAGCUCUAUCAGCAGGGAAGAAAAUGACGGUACCUGAUUAAGAAGCCCCGGCUAACUACGUGCCAGCAGCCGCGGUAAUACGUAGGGGGCAAGCGUUAUCCGGAUUUACUGGGUGUAAAGGGAGCGUAGACGGCAGCACAAGUCUGGAGUGAAAUGGCGGGGCUUAACCCCGGGACUGCUUUGGAAACUGUGCAGCUUGAGUGCAGGAGAGGUAAGUGGAAUUCCUAGUGUAGCGGUGAAAUGCGUAGAUAUUAGGAGGAACACCAGUGGCGAAGGCGGCUUACUGGACUGUAACUGACGUUGAGGCUCGAAAGCGUGGGGAGCAAACAGGAUUAGAUACCCGUGUAGUC